RNAcentral lists this ribosomal RNA (479 nucleotides) under uncultured bacterium. Its description in RNAcentral is "partial 16S ribosomal RNA". It matches the Rfam family "Bacterial small subunit ribosomal RNA", at positions 28 to 507 of the family's 1533-position model. The record is from RNAcentral.
GAUGAACGCUAGCGGGAGGCCUAACACAUGCAAGCCGAGCGGUAGAGUUUCUUCGGAAACUUGAGAGCGGCGCACGGGUGCGUAACACGUGUGCAACCUACCUUUAUCUGGGGGAUAGCCUUUCGAAAGGAAGAUUAAUACCCCAUAAUAUAAUGAUUGGCAUCAAUUAUUAUUGAAAACUCCGGUGGAUAGAGAUGGGCACGCGCAAGAUUAGAUAGUCGGUGAGGUAACGGCUCACCAAGUCAAUGAUCUUUAGGGGUCCUGAGAGGGAGAUCCCCCACACUGGUACUGAGACACGGACCAGACUCCUACGGGAGGCAGCAGUGAGGAAGAUUGGACAAUGGGUGAGAGCCUGAUCCAGCCAUCCCGCGUGAAGGAUGACGGUCCUAUGGAUGGUAAACUUCUUUUGUACAGGGAUAAACCUACCCUCGUGAGGGUAGCUGAAGGUACUGUACGAAUAAGCACCGGCUAACUCCGUG